This is a long non-coding RNA of Ictidomys tridecemlineatus (thirteen-lined ground squirrel), 1963 nucleotides long. RefSeq lists it as uncharacterized. The record is from RefSeq and is a predicted model, not a curated record. NCBI's taxonomy places the organism in Eukaryota, Metazoa, Chordata, Mammalia, Rodentia, Sciuridae.
AGCUGGCUGUGAAUUACAUGAAGAGCUUCUGUCGGUAUGGAAGCCAGGGAGAUUUAGGUUUGGCAUUGUGAACUAUCUGUGGCUCUCAUGCGGCAACAUAUUGCCCAGUGCACAUGACCUUUAUCUCUGCUCUGCUAGGAAGAUCCCUCAUAGUAGCUCUGGAGAUGAGUGUAACCCAUUAGGAACUAGACAGCUCACCUUUAACCUUUCUUGGUGAAGAACAUUCUAUGGAAAGCCUUUCAUGUUCCCCAAUAUAAAUAAAGCAAGAGCAGGCUCCAUUUUGCCAGUCUAGAAGCUCUAUCCGUCUGAUUGGCUUGCCCAUCCACCCCUGCUUGUGAGAUUACUUUCUGUGUCCUGUGGAUUUUUCGUCAUUCUAUUUUUCCUAGAAUUUAUUUCUCAGCCAACUUAUUCCACCUAGGGGAACCCCAUUUCCAUUGUUCACAUGAAACCAGCUCAACAUUAUUUUGUAUUUUUUUUAGAGAUAGGGUCUUACUGAGUUGCUUAGCAUUUCGCUUUUGCCAAGGCUGGCUUUGAACUCACGAUCCUCCUGCCCUCAGUCUCCUGAGCUGCUGGGAUUACAGGUGUGCACCACCACACCCGGCUUACAUAUCUGCAUUCUUGAACUGUCCUCCAUUUCAUGGCAGUAUAUUCAAUUCUUAAUCCCCUUUAGAUUACAUUAGCUGACGUUUUGAUUUUUCAAAAGUGUGCACCAGUGUGUAUAAGUGAUACUGGUCCUCCAUAGCUUUUUGUUUUUGUGCAUGUUUGUAUUAUGCUUGUUGAGUUUGGAAAGCAGAUUUAUUCAUUCAUCCUAUAAGUUACCUAAGACUGCUGACUGUGUGCCAGACACAGUUCUGGACUCCUGGAGCAAGACUGUCUUGCGGCUAGGGGUUUGGCACAUCAGGAGUGCACUUGGCUUGGCAAGUGUGAGGCCCUGGGUUCUGCCCCCAACACAGUAUAAAGGAGACUGUCUUUGUGGCUUUAACAUUCUUUUGGGGAAAGGUCAUUCCAGCUUCAUAAAACACAUCUGGAAAGUUUUCUUUACACUCUUUAAAACACUAGAGUUACCUGUAUCAUGUACUUAUUUUGAUUAUUAAUGUACUAUUAAUGUAUCAAUGUACUUCUGAGUCUUUUUAAAUUCUCAAUAUGUUUUCAUUUUCAUUCACAGCACUUGGAGAGUGUGCUGACUUGCUUUGUGCUCUGUCUGCUAUAUCGUCUGUCUCACCUUACUGCUCAGAUUUGGUGAUGGAUGUGGAGGGAUGUUUUGUACCCAAGCAGGGAGUGUGCCUUUAGUUAUGUGGUGCUCACAUUUUCUGUUUCUUCAUGGAGCAGUUACCUUGGAGGGAACCCUGUAGACAGAAACCUCCCUCUACGGUGCUAGAUUUUUCUGUUUCUCCCUAAAGGUCUGUCAACUUUUGCUUGAACUAUUUGGGAUCUAUUUUAACAUUAUUCCUAAAAUGAUUUGUUUUAUACCAUACUCUGUUCUAACUGGUGUCAAUAUAGCUGUGCUAGCCUUCUAUGGUAACUAGGUGACUGUUGGAUCUUUUUUCUCAUUCUUUCUCAUGGAAUCUUUCCAAGGGCAUAUGUCUUAGGUGUGUCUCUAUUCCACAGCAUUUGCUUGAAGAUUGUUGCUUUUGAUCCAAUGUGACAACCUCUAAUCUCUGACAGUUCCCCAUCAGACCUCCUCAAGGAGCUACUGUUGUUAUUUGUUGUAUCUGUCCUGGCAGAAGCCCCCCAGUGGAGCCAGCUCAGGAUCCCCACAUGUUCCUGUUCAUUAGGAGUGCCACAGAAUCAGCUCCUCUGUUUGGAACAAUCUGGAAAGAAGCCCAUCUGAAUUUCCAAGUGAAUGAUGCUGCUGUGGUGGUAGCUGCUCCCAAGUCUUUUGUGGAUGUACCCAGAAGUAGGAUUAUUGGAUCAAAUGAGACUCACUAAGUUGCCCAGUCUAACCUUGAACUUUCAAUCCUCC